RNAcentral lists this ribosomal RNA (497 nucleotides) under uncultured bacterium. RNAcentral describes it as "partial 16S ribosomal RNA". It matches the Rfam family "Bacterial small subunit ribosomal RNA", at positions 28 to 507 of the family's 1533-position model. The record is from RNAcentral.
GAUGAACGCUGGCGGCGUGCCUAAUACAUGCAAGUCGAGCGAACGGACGAGAAGCUUGCUUCUCUGAUGUUAGCGGCGGACGGGUGAGUAACACGUGGAUAACCUACCUAUAAGACUGGGAUAACUUCGGGAAACCGGAGCUAAUACCGGAUGAUAUUUUGAACCGCAUGGUUCAAAAGUGAAAGACGGUCUUGCUGUCACUUAUAGAUGGAUCCGCGCGGCAUUAGCUAGUUGGUAAGGUAACGGCUUACCAAGGCAACGAUGCAUAGCCGACCUGAGAGGGUGAUAGGCCACACGGGAACUGGGACACGGUCCAGACUCCUACGGGAGGCAGCAGUAGGGAAUCUUCCGCAAUGGGCGAAAGCCUGACGGAGCAACGCCGCGUGAGUGAUGAAGGUCUUCGGAUCGUAAAACUCUGUUAUUAGGGAAGAACAUAUGUGUAAGUAACUGUGCACAUCUUGACGGUACCUAAUCAGAAAGCCACGGCUAACUACGUG